Molecule: non-coding RNA, 536 nt
Organism: Trematomus bernacchii (emerald rockcod)
Lineage: Eukaryota; Metazoa; Chordata; Actinopteri; Perciformes; Nototheniidae
Source: the annotation of a RefSeq genome assembly
GAUCACUGCAUUUCAUCCAUCACUUCAGUCUCUACAAGAUGAUUACAUUUCUCAUUUGCCAUUUCCUCACGGCAGGUGUUUCUCUGGGGGUUCAGGUCCACCAGUCUCCCUCUGCAGCCAUCAGAAAGGCCGGAGAAGACGUGCAGCUUUUCUGCACUCACGGACAAACCGACUACAGAGUGAUGCUGUGGUACCAGCAGCCCCCCGGGGACAAGGCUCUGGAACUCAUUGGAUAUGUAGAUUAUACUAAAAUAAGCAAUGAAGAAUUAUAUAAAGAGCAUUUCAAUAUCACUGGAGAUUUAAGUGGAAACACAGGAAAGAAUGGUUCUCUGUUUAUAGCAGACCUGAAGGCAUCUGAGCACAGUGCAGUGUACUUCUGUGCAGCUCGGUAUGCACCAUGAGACACAUCUCCUUUCAACUAAACAAAAACUUGGCACCAUAUUUUAUCAGCUGUGGUUUUUAUCUGAUUCCGAACGCUGCUGCUGAGUCCUCACCAACACUAAGAAAGUGGAGAACAUAACUCCAGUUCUGAGGUC